CAGUAGCCGCGGGAAUACAGAGGGUGCGAGCGUUAAUCGGAUUUACUGGGCGUAAAGCGUGCGUAGGCGGCUUUUUAAGUAGGAUGUGAAAUCCCUGAGCUUAACUUAGGAAUUGCAUUCGAUACUGGGAAGCUAGAGUAUGGAGAGGAUGGUAGAAUUCCAGGUGUAGCGGUGAAAUGCGUAGAGAUCUGGAGGAAUACCGAUGGCGAAGGCAGCCAUCUGGCCUAAUACUGACGCUGAGGUACGAAAGCAUGGGGAGCAAACAGGAUUAGAUACCCCCGUAGUCCCUGUCUCUUAUACA
Molecule: ribosomal RNA, 301 nt
Filed under: uncultured bacterium
Lineage: Bacteria
Description: partial 16S ribosomal RNA
Rfam family: Bacterial small subunit ribosomal RNA
Source: RNAcentral